Polypterus senegalus (gray bichir) is the source of this 426-nucleotide long non-coding RNA. RefSeq lists it as uncharacterized. The transcript is spliced from 3 exons. The record is from RefSeq and is a predicted model, not a curated record. Lineage: Eukaryota; Metazoa; Chordata; Cladistia; Polypteriformes; Polypteridae.
UUACAACAUUGUUAUUCGUUUUCUUCUCGUGGAAUUGUGCCGUAUUUCACAUUUUUUCCCGACGAAGAAAAUAUCGGGGCAACAGCUUUCCCUGGGUAGGAAUAAAAAAUCCCUUUCAGCUGCAAGUGAAGAAAUAUUGGAAAACAAACAGGCAUCACACAGCCUCGGGAUAGCAGACUGGCACUCGCCCAAUCACCUGAAUCUAAGAGAACAGAUGAGCUUCUCUGUCAGGGAGUUAAACAGACAUGCUGCCAACGAGGACACAUUCAACAGCACAGAAAACAACCCCGGAUUUUUUUUCCCCUACUUUUUCUUCCUUUUUAAUAAAUAACCGUCUUUAUGACCUUUCAGAGAUCACAGAGUCACAGCAUGGGGGAAUGAAUCCCCAGCCGGCUUGUCACCCUGGCCAAUACCCCCAGGCCUCCA